ACACGUCUACAUUAGAUACCCGGGUAGUCCCAGCCGUAAACUAUGCGCGUUAGGUGUACCGGUGACCACGAGUCACCGAGGUGCCGAAGGGAAACCGUGAAACGUGCCGCCUGGGAAGUACGGUCGCAAGGCUGAAACUUAAAGGAAUUGGCGGGGAGCACCACAACGGGUGGAGCCUGCGGUUUAAUUGGACUCAACGCCGGGAAGCUCACCGGAUAAGACAGCGGAAUGAUUGCCGGGCUGAAGACUCUGCAUGACUAGCUG
This 264-nucleotide ribosomal RNA is filed under the name uncultured archaeon. RNAcentral describes it as "partial 16S ribosomal RNA". It matches the Rfam family "Archaeal small subunit ribosomal RNA", at positions 717 to 982 of the family's 1478-position model. The record is from RNAcentral.